AAAAUAGGCCAUACCACCUUACCAAUUCCCAACCCCGUCUGAUCUCUGAAGUUAAGCAGGGUUGGGCCUGGUUAGUACUUGCUCUGAGUUGCCGAUGGCCCAGAUUGGCAGGCUCGUUUC
Molecule: ribosomal RNA, 120 nt
Filed under: Periophthalmus magnuspinnatus
Lineage: Eukaryota; Metazoa; Chordata; Actinopteri; Gobiiformes; Gobiidae
Source: RNAcentral